Molecule: long non-coding RNA, 1605 nt
Organism: Struthio camelus australis
Lineage: Eukaryota; Metazoa; Chordata; Aves; Struthioniformes; Struthionidae
Source: Ensembl
CAGUUAUCAUUAGGUAAAUGAUCUAGCCAGGCAACCGCAAACCAUUAGUUUCUGUGGAAACACAUCCAUCAUCAUGCCGACAGAAACAUAGCUAAUCCAGCCCCUUAGUCCUAAACAUUCUGCGUAAAAGACCAUUCGACUUUCAAGCGUUCACCUUUAUUUUCCCCUUGCUCUUCCCUCAAAUCCAGCCAUCAGUCGGUCUUAAUCAGAAGAGGGUUUAUAAGAGCUGACAAGUUAAAAAAGAUUCUUUGUUUUUUAAGCCAAGAGAGUCGCACUCAGGAACCCUCCUUUUGAAUUGCACUGAACAGCCUAUUUUCCUCUGCUGUCAGAGCCGCCUCUCGCCAGUGCUGUGCAGCCGCCAACAAACACCUUCUCUUCACUGUGCAUUUCUAAAACUGGCUUACGUGUCAUGCACUUUGAACCGCAACUUUCAAAGAAAACCUCUAGAACUGCAUCCAACUUGUCCUGGGCGCAGAAAGGCACGGUACAACAUCAAUCUGCUUGCAUACAAUGAGCAAGACACCGUCCUGAAAGCAGCAGUGUGUUGCCUUUGGUCCGAGGAAGGAAUGCGACGAGAACAGAAACAGAACUCAGGUUUUGGCUGAGGUUAUUCUAAACAUCAGAAUUUAUAAGUUUGCCAGUUACAAGUUUGGACCUAUUUUCUUUGCAUCUGAACCAGCCUGCAAGCAAAAGAUCAAGGCCGCACGUCAAUCUCCCAAGGAAGCUACUUGCAUUCUCCGCAGCUAGAAAGCUUUCAAAGCAACACGUAAGAGUUCAUACAUAUUUGUAAUAUAGUUAAUGAUACAGGUGUGGGCUGUCUCUGAGAGGCGCCACUGCCUCCUCCCAGACCUGCCGGGGAGGGCGACCGCGCUGCUGACACAGCAGCUCCCCGCACGCCUACGUGGGCAUACGGGACAGCUGAUAAUAUUCACGUCUAUAUUUGCGUUACAAAUUACACGCACAGGGUAGUUCCUUCUCUGCAUGGUAUCGUAACCCACUGGUGAACGCACGUUUCUGACACUCCUUUGCUUCCAGCCCACAGGGUAUCGCAGUCAUGUGGCCUUAUCCAUCUCACAGCGUAACCACUCACGCUUCCAGCGCUGCCCCAGGUCCCCUGCUCGCUUCUGCCUUUGCUGGCACACAAGCAGUAAUGGAUAAGGAUACACACCUAUUUUAUGCUUGUACCUGACCAUCCAGCUUAGCUGUUUUAGCUAAACUUGUUUGUUUCUUUUUUUUUUUUUUUUACAGAAAGAGUAAUAGUACAGAUUAAGUGAUUUUAAAAACUGUUUUCUGCAAGAAUCUUUAUCUUGAGGAUUGCUAUUACUAUGCUUAAUUAUCAUUUUCUCUAAGCUUAACAGGAAAAUAAGUAGGGUUUUUUUAGCCAACCCCCAAAAGUCAUUUUUUCUUCAAAUCUGUCUCUCCCUCUGCAGCACCACUAAACACUUCACAGAUACAGUUUCCUUUGAUAUCACAAUAGUGACAACACAUGCAUGUUCUGAAGAUUGGUUUAUUUAUAGUUUAUUUAUUUUUAAACCAAAUAGAACUGAAACAAGGAGCGUAAACCAAGGCUAACGUUUUCUCCCUCACAGAAAAAGAUAUAUCUAU